GGGGCCCACAACCACACAUAGCUAAUUUUUGUAUUUUUAGUAGAGAUGGGGUUUCACCAUGUUGGUCAGGCUGGUCUCGAACUCCUGACCUCAGGGGAUCCACCCGUCUCGGUCUCCCAAAGGGCUGGGGUUACAGACGUGAGCCACCACGCCUGCCUCAUGUGAUUUCAUCUUGCCUCAGGAACUCCACAGUCAGUUGCUCUCCCUGGAAGCAGUAUGGCCAAAAGGAGGAAGAAGAGUGUCUCUCGGAUUUCAGCUUGGAGGAGGGAGUUCAGGCUGCCAGAAUUGGACUAGCACUUCUGAAUAUCCCGAGAUGUCAGCUCCGCCUCAGGAAUCGACUGAGACUUUGACCGAGACUUUGGUUCCAUUCCUGGACACGGAUUCAGCUGGAGAGCUGCCCCCGGGGCCAGAGCAGUUAGCGGCUGCACACCAGGAUCUGAAUGACUCCCAGAGGUGGUUCCAAUGCUGAACUGGGAUCAGAAUCAGACCCUAGCUCGGCCUCCUCGCCUCAAAAGAUAUGAACUGUGUUUCUUCACAGAAAUUUCCAAGGAAACUAUAUUUCUUACAUUGGUGAAGAUAUAUGGAAAGCAUACAGUUGGACUGAGAAACUGUGAGUAUAUUCUCUCCAAAUAUGACAAAAAACUAACUGCAUUGUAAGAUCCUUCCUGGUAUAGAAUUUUGAGGUCAGUACCUCUGAGAAAACAUGUUUCCCCUCCAUACCCCAAUCAACCUCUGUUGAUUGCAAUCCUGUGGUUAUUUUAAAAUUAAAUUUGGUAGGCUCUCUUUAAAAUAAGAGUCAAUUUAAAUUUAUUUUUUAUUAUACAAAUAAUACUUUGUUAUAUAUACAUAUAUAUAUAUUUUUUCAGAGACGGGAUCUUACUGUGUUCCCCAGGCUGGAGUGCAGUGGUGCAAUCAUGACUCACUGCAGCCUCCACCUCCCAGGCUCAAGAGAUCCUCCCAUCUCAGCUUCCCAAGUAGCUGGGACCACAGGUACAUGCUACCAUGCCCACCUAAUUUUUUAUUUUUUGUAGAGACAGGGUCUCCCUAUAUUGCUUAGGCUGGUCUCAAACUCCUGGGCUCAAGUGAUCCUCCCACCUUGGCCUCCCAAAGUGCUGGGAUUACAGGCAUUUUGUAAUCCCAGCCCUCAGCCCCAUCCCCAGCCCAUGAUUACAUUCUUAAUGUAUAAAAAUGAAAUAACAGCUAUAACGAAAACCCUCCUUGUGUCCUACUCCCUCAUC
This 1238-nucleotide long non-coding RNA is filed under the name Rhinopithecus bieti (black snub-nosed monkey). RNAcentral's name for it is "lncRNA (ENSRBIG00000045299.1)". The record is from RNAcentral. Lineage: Eukaryota; Metazoa; Chordata; Mammalia; Primates; Cercopithecidae.